Molecule: unclassified non-coding RNA, 219 nt
Filed under: uncultured Actinomycetes bacterium
Lineage: Bacteria; Bacillati; Actinomycetota; Actinomycetes
Description: uncultured actinobacterium contains 16S-23S intergenic spacer region
Source: RNAcentral
UCCGGUUUGGCACCGGCAGUCUCCCUAGAGUUCCCGGCAUGAUCCGCUGGCAACUAAGGACAGGGGUUGCGCUCGUUGCGCCACUUAAGGCAACACCUCACGGCACGAGCUGACGACAGCCAUGCACCACCUGUGCAGGCUCCGAAGAGCACCCGCUUUCACGGGUUUCACCCUGCAUGUCAAGCCCAGGUAAGGUGGGGAUGACGUAGACCUUGGACC